GCUUUUAUGCUUUAGACUCGAUGUCUUGGCAACUUGUGAACUGGUCAUGAGUGACCACACUUUAACGACUCCUCCAUUUAUGUAUUCCUUGGCGAGCUAUUACUGAAACCACACUUCACGUUCAUGUGUCAGGCUUAAUGUCAUAGGGAUUGUGGAUUGGUCAAGGGUGUCUCCUCCACGUGAGUGACUCUCUAUUUGGCGAGCAUUUAACAUUUGGAGUGCCACCAGCCAUGAUCCCUUCAUCCAGCGAGCGCUCUUGUCGCUUUCACACCCCGUUGGUGAUCUGUAUAUCGCAUACACCUUGUUAGUGAGUUGUAUGUAUUUCUCGAGGCUUGUUAUCGAGUCAUGUACUUUAGAGUCUUAGAUGACUCACCAUCUUUUGGGUGGGUUAUGUUUAUAUCAGUUAUUUUGCAUCGAGCCUCAUAUCCAUGUUAUCUGCCACCGUCGCAGAUUUUCUCCUUUUGUGAUCUUUUUCCAAUAUGCUCCACAAAAUCUGAAUAGUCAAGGAGGAUUAAUGAAAUAUAAUAACAAAGGAGUUCUUAUUGAACAUAUAACAGUUGGUCCUGAUUUUGAGUCAUAUUAUAUACAUCAGUCUGCUAUGUAUAGAGAAAGCCUACUCUCCCUCCCCGGGGAUUUAAUGGAAGCCAGUGAAGAUGACCAACAAUAAUAGACAAGAAGAAUCAAGGAGAGUCUUGAUGCAGAUAGAAAUCAUCAUGAAAAUACUGAUAAUGUCAGUGUUGACAAUUCCAUGCCUAAUCUAAUUCACUCUCCUAAUGGAAGAACUGAGGCUCCAUGGGCUUGAAAGUUGUGCUGAUCGAGCAUAUAUGGUUUCUGUUUAAUUUAGUUUAUUUUUUGAAAGUUCUUUCCAUACUUCAAACACACACUGUUGCUGUAUUUGGUGCUAUAACGAUGAACAUUUCUAAUGCAACGUACCGGUAUGUGAGUGCUGAUUUUAUCCUUA
Lotus japonicus is the source of this 961-nucleotide long non-coding RNA. RefSeq lists it as uncharacterized. The record is from RefSeq and is a predicted model, not a curated record. NCBI's taxonomy places the organism in Eukaryota, Viridiplantae, Streptophyta, Magnoliopsida, Fabales, Fabaceae. The transcript is spliced from 2 exons.